CUGCAAGGCAGAGGGGCCUGGGUCCUUGCCCCCCAGAAGCGGGAGCUUCAAGCUGUCACUGGCAGAGUAAAUGGUUUUAUCUUGUCUGUUCCUUUUUCCUUUGUGCGUCUUCCAAGUUACGUGAUUUGAGUCAAUCUCCAUCGAAGCAGCUGUGUUGCUGCCUCUCUGUUGUUUGUCAGGGAGGUGGAAAAUUUGAGGUAUAACUACAGUGGUGUCUCUUGGUAUUAACAUUUUUUGUAUUUCCCUCCCUCUAGAGCCCCUUGCCCUGCCAGUUCCUGCAUGCCAAGCACCUUCUGCUCACGCAGCUGAUGAAUGCGUGAAAAAGCAGCUGACCAGGAGAGGGACUCGUAAGCAGCUGCUAAGAUGGGCAUGAGGAUCAAGUUGCAUAGCACCAAUCACCCCAACAACCUGCUGAAGGAGCUCAACAAGUGCAGGCUCUCUGAGACCAUGUGCGACGUCACCAUCCUGGUGGGCUCCCGCUCCUUUGCUGCACACAAGGCUGUUCUGGCCUGCGCUGCCGGGUACUUCCAGAACCUCUUUCUGAACACAGGGCUGGACACUGCCAGGACCUACGUCGUGGAUUUCAUCACACCAGCCAACUUUGAGAAGAUCCUCAGCUUCGUGUACACCUCGGAGCUCUUCACAGACCUCAUCAAUGUGGGUGUCAUCUAUGAGGUGGCAGAGCGGCUGGGGAUGGAAGACCUGCUGCAGGCCUGUCACUCCACCUUCCCCGACCUGGAGAACUCAGCCAUCACCAAGCAGCCCUCCCUGGCCACCAGCAAAGGCCGGUCAGGUCCUCUGAGCAGCACCUCCUCAGAGCAGAGCCAUUCUUUGGGUGAGGUCCGGAGUGGUGGGGAGCACUUUGGCCCCGAACGGAAUUACCUCCUGCACGGGGAGGUGUCAGGCACCUACAAAGAGGACGACAGGAAUGCGGUGAAUGAAGCCAGCCAGGCUCUUCCCCUGGUGCACCCACAGCAGCCUCCCAAGGCAGAGCAGGAGCUGGAUCAAGGGCAGUUUGCUCCUGCCACGGGCAUGGCCACCCAGCCCAGCCUGGGUGGUGUGAACAUCGUGGUUCAAACCAGCACCAGCUCCUGCCAGCAGUACAAGGUCCAGAGCAAUGGUGACUAUGGCAAGGCUGGCUUCUUUACCCCUGAUCCUUCCCUGGAUGUCUCCACAGGGAGCAAUUCCUGUCCCAGUAACAGUGACCACUCCAAAGAGCAAGGCUUUGGGCAGAUGGAUGAACUUCAGCUGGAGGAUCUGGGUGAGGAUGAGCUGCAUUUUGAAGAUGCCAGUGAGGAGCUGGGCCCAUCAGAGGAGGUUAUUGAGCUGAGUGAUGACAGUGAGGAGGAGCUGGCCUUCGAGAACGACAGCCGGGAUAGCAAGGCCAUGCCCUGCCAGGUGUGCAAGAAAGUCCUGGAGCCCAACAUCCAGCUGAUCCGCCAGCAUGCUAGGGAUCACGUGGAUCUGCUCACCGGGAAUUGCAAGGUCUGUGAAACCCACUUCCAGGACCGGAACUCCCGGGUCACUCAUGUUCUGUCCCACAUUGGCAUCUUUCUUUUCUCCUGUGACAUGUGUGAGACCAAGUUCUUCACGCAGUGGCAGCUGACCCUCCACCGGCGGGAAGGGGUCUUUGACAACAACAUCAUCGUCCACCCCAGUGACCCCCUGCCCGGGAAGGUCACAGUCCUUGGGGGGGGGCCUGGCUCCGAGCUGGCCUGUGCUGCCUGCGGGAAGCCACUGGCCAAGGAUUUCCACACCAUCCGCAGCCACAUCCUGGACCAUGUGAACUUGAAGAGCCAGAUGUGUUCUGUGUGUGACCAGAGGCACCUCAGCAUCUGCAGCCUGAUGUGGCACACCCUCUCCCACCUGGGCAUCUCGGUCUUCUCCUGCUCUGUUUGUGCCAACAGCUUUGUGGAUCGACACCUCCUGGAGAAGCACUUGGCCGUUCACCAGAAUGUGGAGGAGGCUCUUUUCCGCUGCCACUUCUGUGGCCAGAGCUUCAAGCUAGAAGCAGCCUAUCGUUACCACGUCAGCCAGCACAAGUGUGGGGGCAGCCUGGACAUCCGACCCAGCUUUGGAGACCGGCUCCAUCCGCAGGGCCUGCCGAAGAGAAAGGUGCCAGAGGAGUUCCUGAGUGAAGACCUGGGGCUGCAAACCCAGCCGGGCAACAGCAAGUACAGCUGCAAGGUCUGUGGGAAGAGGUUUGCCCACACCAGCGAGUUCAACUACCACCGGCGGAUCCACACCGGGGAGAAGCCCUACCAGUGCAAGGUGUGCCACAAGUUCUUCCGCGGCCGCUCCACCAUCAAGUGCCACCUGCGGACGCACUCGGGAGCCCUCAUGUACCGCUGCACCGUCUGUGGGCACUACAGCUCCACGCUCAACCUGAUGAGCAAGCACAUCGGGGUGCACAAGGGCAGCCUGCCCCCGGACUUCACCAUCGAGCAGACUUUCAUGUACAUCAUCCAUUCCAAAGAUGCGGAGAAGAACACAGACAGCUGAUGGGGUGAGGCAGGGCCAGCAAAGGAGCAAAAACUAACUACAGAAGCUGUGGAAAGAACGUCGUUUAUUUUAUUUAAUGGUCAGGCAUCAUGGAGGCAAUCCUCCUUUUCUAUUUUUUUAUUAUUUUUUUUGGCCUUAUUAGGGCUUUGUAGAUUGGUGGCAUUGUACAAGUUAACAGCACGUAAGCUACAUCACUGUUUCUGAGAAGUCUGUUGUGUUUACUUACCUCUGGUCCUGUUAGAGGACAUCUAGUUUUGUGUUUUUAGCAUUUCUCACUAGGUUUUCAAUCUAGAUUUUUAUUUUAUUUUAACCUUUUAGCCCACUUGACUAGGCUAACCCUCAGUUUGAGCUUGCCCACAAACUGAUGCUGCUAAGAUUUUUCACACCUGACCUCAGUAGAGAGGGACAGAGCUAGAGCAGGAUGAUGCUGGACUCGAAGAGAAAAAAAAACAAAAACAAAAAAAAGGAAGGAAAAAGGAAAAAAAGGAUUUGUUCUGGGCAUCACUGGGUUCUGCUGCUACUGCGAGGAGAUGAGCAAUGUCACAGAGUCAGCCCUGAGGCUGUUCCCUUGGAGGGUAGAGGAGCAGCACACCCGUCAGGAGAGGUCUGGGCGGAGGCACGGGGGGUGCCCAGUGCUGCUGGGACAGGGAUGUGCCACUCAUUCCUUCCUGGUGUCCCAGAGGUGGCGGAGGGACAGCGCUGCUGCCAGGAGCCAGAGCAGCAGGGCAGGUGAGCAGAGGGAUCCCUGGAGGAGUCACUGGACUGGAGCAAGCAGGGAAUGUGUCAUGGGGCCAACUGCUACUGGGAGAGGUGAUGACACAGGCACACCAGGAGCGUGCUGGCAUCUCCUCGGCUCCUCUGCUGAUGGAGUGGUGCGUGUGGUGCUAUGUCCAUGUGGUGCAUCCCAGGACUGGAAGUGCUGGAUGCCAGAGAGCAGCGGUGCUGCAGCUGCGCGGAUCCCUGCAGACCAGAGGUGAUGAAGCCAUUGCCUUAACUCCCGUAAGGAUGUUGUUCGUGCCAUAUCUGUUCGUUCAUCCUGUCUGGAAUGGUGCUGUACCCUCGACAGGCGCCAGGAGCGGCAGCAGUCUGACCACUGAGAGCCUCGGCUCAGCCUCCCUGGGACAUCAGGUGCAGGAUGGGGGCUCCUCGGGACGGGGGGUCUUCUGGCUGUGCUGGCGAGGUCAGUGUUUACACUGGGAAGGGUGUGGAUUGUUUUUUUCCCAUGUUAUCCUGCUGUGGGGCCGAGGUGGAGAGGAACAAAUAUUUUGGAUGCCGCAGCAUGAUUGUGGCUGCCCUUGGGUAACUCGUUCUACCUCACAAACAGGAAGUGCUUGGGGCUUUCAAGCCACAGUUGUGAAUUGGCUCCUGUGCUUCUGAAAAGAUAAUGCUGUUAGGAAACAAAACUCAUGAUUUGCAAACCCCAUAAACUCAUCCCGCUUUCCCCUCUUCUGGAAGGGACAGCCCAUGGCAGAGGAGUGGUGCGGGUGGGAUGCGUGGUUGGUGAAAUGGGAAUUCCUGGGGGUUGCUCCCCUGCGCCAGUGUGGCCUUGGGCAAGUCACUUCACCUCUUUGCCUCAGUUUCCUCGUCUGUAAAAUGAGGGUGGUGGCACUUGUGGCACCUACCUACCUCCCGGGAGUGCGGCGAAGGUUGCUGCUCGUACCUGCCAGGCAUGGUGAGCACAUCCCAGGGAAGUGGCAACCUCCGUCCUCUCCUAUACCAGUUCCUCAACCUGGUGGGGUCAUCCCUGUUGCAGGGAGGAGGAAGAGACUGAGGCUGUUGGGAUUUUGUGUCCUUUUCCUAAUAUUGUGUAAUAUUGGUUGGGUUUAGGGCCAAGUGACUUGGCCCUGGGGAGCGUUCAUCUGAAUUUGUGCUGGUUUCAGUGCCUGGAGCCCAUUUCCAGAGGAGGAGGGGCACCAAUGCUGAUCCUGGGCUGGCUGGCCUGUGCUGCGUCUGCUGCCAGAGCUCUGGUGUCCACACUUUGCUCUCAUGGUGCUGUUUGGUUGCCAGGGUGCAGGUGAUGGUGUCCAGCUGCUUUGAAGAGCCACGUUCAGCCUGAUAAGUUUAAAAAUCUCGUUUUGAGAAGGCGCUCAGGGGAAUGGUGCUUUGCUGGGGACUCCUCUGCACUCCCCAAGUUACAUGGUUCCUUUCCUUGUCGUGGUGGUGGCAAGAUGGGCUGGUGGAUGGGAAUGGAUGUGACCUGCUCUGCUCUGGAGCUAUGAAGGAUGUGGGAGUAGGUGAGUCUUGGAAGAGCCUAGUCCUUGCAGCCUCAAGACCCUUCUAAAAUGUCCCAGGAGCUGGGAUCAGCUUUUGGGUGAGUUGGGGUGCUGCCCCACAGAAGUGUCUGCAGCCCCAUAUCUCACUAAGCUGUGAAGCAAAAGCCUUUUGUGCACAUAAACCAAAAAGUGAAGCUUUUACACUGAAACGGUAACGGGCAAGGCAAGUCCACCCUUCUGGACCCAGGGUUGGGAAGGCAAAAGCCCGCCCUGUUUCCUGCUAGAGGUUUGGGUGUGAGGACGGGGUCAGUGCUUGGUCCCUGGCAUUUCUCUCUUGGAUUCUUUCCUGUGUUAUAACAAAUUAUUCCCAUGUGGAACAUCCUGAGAUCAGCAGCGAGUCCUGAUUGUGGAGGGGAUGCAGGGGUGGAUCUGGACCUGCAGAGCUCCCGCACUGCUGCUGCUCGGAGGGGUUUUCGCAACAGGGGUCAGAGACCUGCACUCCCCUCCCAGCAGCAUCUUGGGCCUCUCUGGGCCAGUGGCCAGUGUCAGGGCUCUGUUGUCCCAGUCCUCUCAGCAGCCUGGGUAUUCCAGAGUCUGGCCAGCCUGGCUGGCAGCUCCAGGGUUCCUGCUGAAAGCCAUGCAGGUGGAGCCAUGGGGCUCAUCCUGAGUCCCUGCAGAGGAGCCGUUGCUCUGGCCUGGCUGUGUCACAGUGGAGGCACCGGUGACAGCCAGAGCCGAGCGUGUGCCAGGGCUGGGCCAAGCGGUGCCGGGGGAGCUGGGUGGGAUCCCAGCUCCUGGCUCCAUUCCUCACUCGCCUCCUGGCCUCCCUUUCCCUCCCUUGGUGUGGGGACAACACUUACCUACCUCUCCCGGGGUGGCUGUGAGGUUCAACUCAUGUUUGCAAAGUGCGCCGGGACCCGCGGGGUGCGGAGGGGAAUCACUUCCCCACGGGCGGUGCCGGUGGCGUCAGGAGAGCAGCCAGAUCACGGCACUUCAUGGAAGUCCUGACAACCCCCCUCCCAACGGCAGCGCCUCGAGACCACUCUGACCCCGGCUGUGAAAUCACAAAGUUCAGUUUUGUUCUCCCCUUUCUCAAAGGAUCCAGGUCUCAUCAGAAUGAUGAAGCAGAAGAAAGAAAAGAGUUGAAUUGCUGUCUAACCUUUUUUGUUAAGUUAAUAGUAGGUACUGACCUCCUGAUAUUUAAGUGUUUACUAUCUAUUUGCUGUAAAGUUUUGUAUAUUUUGUAAACUUCCCCCCAAAUAGUAGAUGUCUAAAAUCGUUGUACAUCGGGUUCUUUUAUACUCCAUUGUUCAGCACAAAGUGUGUUUUUUAUUUAGAAUAAUAAAAUGGAAAAUGUUGA
RNA transcript from Apus apus (common swift), 6075 nucleotides. It is a transcript of the gene named zinc finger and BTB domain containing 39, with no coding region annotated. The record is from RefSeq and is a predicted model, not a curated record. NCBI's taxonomy places the organism in Eukaryota, Metazoa, Chordata, Aves, Apodiformes, Apodidae. The transcript is spliced from 2 exons.